AUGGUAAGGAUAAAGCAAUUACAGUAAGAAAUGAUUAUCCGAAGCCCCCUGUCCCUUGUUUUGAAAUCACUGAGGAUUUUGAUUUGGAAAAGGUUGAGGAGCUUAUGCUAGAAAGGGAUAUUAAGAUCGCCAAGUCCAUGGCAAAUGACAUAAUCAUCCCA
Molecule: long non-coding RNA, 161 nt
Organism: Triticum dicoccoides
Lineage: Eukaryota; Viridiplantae; Streptophyta; Magnoliopsida; Poales; Poaceae
Exons: 2
Source: RefSeq, a predicted model, not a curated record